RNAcentral lists this non-coding RNA (21 nucleotides) under Caenorhabditis elegans. Lineage: Eukaryota; Metazoa; Nematoda; Chromadorea; Rhabditida; Rhabditidae. The record is from RNAcentral.
UUACAUCAAAAUUAAGUUGGG